RNAcentral lists this ribosomal RNA (1271 nucleotides) under metagenome. RNAcentral describes it as "bacterial LSU rRNA". It matches the Rfam family "Bacterial large subunit ribosomal RNA", at positions 1634 to 2925 of the family's 2925-position model. The record is from RNAcentral.
AAAAAUGCCUGUACCAUAACCGACACAGGUGGGUAGGUAGAGUAUACUAAGGGGCGCGAGAUAACUCUCUCUAAGGAAUUCGGCAAAAUGACUCCGUAACUUCGGGAGAAGGAGUGCCUUAUUCUAUAAGGUUGCAAUAACAAGAUCCAAGCAACUGUUUAUCAAAAACACAGGUCUCCGCUAAGUCGUAAGACGAAGUAUGGGGGCUGACGCCUGCCCAGUGCCAGAAGGUUAAAGAAGUUGGUUAGUGUAAACAAGCUGAUAACUGAAGCCCUGGUGAACGGCGGCCGUAACAAUAACGGUCCUAAGGUAGCGAAAUUCCUUGUCGGGUAAGUUCCGACCCGCACGAAAGGCGUAAUGAUUUGGAUACUGUCUCGGAGAGAGGCUCGGUGAAAUAGACUUGUCUGUGAAGAUGCGGACUACCUGCACCAGGACAGAAAGACCCUAUGAAGCUUUACUGUAACUUGAAAUUGGAAUUGGACUUUAUUCGCGCAGCAUAGGUGGGAGACAUUGAAGAUAUUCUUGCGGGAGUAUCCGAGUCAUUAGUGAGAUACCACUCUUGUAAUGUUAGAUUUCUAACUUUGAACCAUUAUCUGGUCAAAGAACAGUUUCAGGCGGGCAGUUUGACUGGGGCGGUCGCCUCCCAAAUGGUAACGGAGGCGUACAAAGGUUUCCUCUGAACGGGUAGAAAUCGUAUCUAGAGUGUAAAGGCAUAAGGAAGCUUGACUGUGAGACCUAUAAGUCGAGCAGGGACGAAAGUCGGUCUUAGUGAUCUGACGGUACUGAGUGGAAAGGCCGUCACUCAACGGAUAAAAGUUACUCUAAGGAUAACAGGCUGAUCUCCCCCAAGAGUUCACAUCGACGGGGAGGUUUGGCACCUCGAUGUCGGCUCAUCGCAUCCUGGGGCGGUAGUACGUCCCAAGGGUUGGGCUGUUCGCCCAUGAAAGCGGUACGCGAGCUGGGUUCAGAACGUCGUGAGACAGUUCGGUCCAUAUCCGGUGUAGGCGUUAGAAUAUUGAGAGGAGCCUUCUUUAGUACGAGAGGACCGAGAAGGACAUACCGCUGGUGUACCAGUUAUCGUGCCAACGGUAAACGCUGGGUAGCUAUGUAUGGAGUGGAUAACCGCUGAAAGCAUCUAAGUGGGAAGCCCACCUCAAGAUGAGUAUUCUCAUCACGUUAGUGAGUAAGGUCACGGUAAGACUAACCGUUUGAUAGGCAUUAAGUGUAAAUACAGUAAUGUAUGUGCUAAGAUGUCCUAACAGACCGAGGAC